Molecule: transfer RNA, 73 nt
Filed under: Ursus americanus (American black bear)
Lineage: Eukaryota; Metazoa; Chordata; Mammalia; Carnivora; Ursidae
Also listed under: 2 other names
Rfam family: tRNA
About the family: Transfer RNA (tRNA) molecules are approximately 80 nucleotides in length.
Source: Rfam by way of RNAcentral
AACUGGCUAGCUCAGUUGGUAGAGCAUGAGACUCUCAAUCUCAGGGCCAUGAGUUCAAGUCCCACGUUGGGCA